This 222-nucleotide ribosomal RNA is filed under the name Tissierellia bacterium. Its description in RNAcentral is "partial 16S ribosomal RNA". It matches the Rfam family "Bacterial small subunit ribosomal RNA", at positions 1 to 201 of the family's 1533-position model. Lineage: Bacteria; Bacillati; Bacillota; Tissierellia. The record is from RNAcentral.
UUUAAUGAGAGUUUGAUCCUGGCUCAGGACGAACGCUGGCGGCGGGCCUAACACAUGCAAGUCGAGCGAAGCACCUAGGACAGAUUCCUUCGGGAUGACGUUGUAGGGGACUUAGCGGCGGACGGGUGAGUAACGCGUGAGGAACCUGCCUUCCACAAGGGGAUAGCCUCGGGAAACCGGGAUUAAUACCCUAUGACACUUAUGGGCCGCAUGGUCCUUAGG